Molecule: transfer RNA, 73 nt
Filed under: Planctomycetaceae bacterium
Lineage: Bacteria; Pseudomonadati; Planctomycetota; Planctomycetia; Planctomycetales; Planctomycetaceae
Description: tRNA-Val
Rfam family: tRNA
About the family: Transfer RNA (tRNA) molecules are approximately 80 nucleotides in length. Their secondary structure includes four short double-helical elements and three loops (D, anti-codon, and T loops). Further hydrogen bonds mediate the characteristic L-shaped molecular structure. tRNAs have two regions of fundamental functional importance: the anti-codon, which is responsible for specific mRNA codon recognition, and the 3' end, to which the tRNAs corresponding amino acid is attached (by aminoacyl-tRNA synthetases). tRNAs cope with the degeneracy of the genetic code in two manners: having more than one tRNA (with a specific anti-codon) for a particular amino acid; and 'wobble' base-pairing, i.e. permitting non-standard base-pairing at the 3rd anti-codon position.
Source: RNAcentral
GGGCGUGUAACUCAGCGGUCAGAGUGCCUCGCUUACACCGAGGAAGUCGGGGGUUCAAAUCCCUCCACGCCCA